Zingiber officinale is the source of this 2231-nucleotide long non-coding RNA. RefSeq lists it as uncharacterized. The transcript is spliced from 12 exons. NCBI's taxonomy places the organism in Eukaryota, Viridiplantae, Streptophyta, Magnoliopsida, Zingiberales, Zingiberaceae. The record is from RefSeq and is a predicted model, not a curated record.
GGUCAUCUUCAAAACCUCUCGUUUCCUCUUUUCAUUCUUCUUAAUCGUCUGAUUACUAAAGGUUGAGGAUGGGGUUUGGGGUUAACCUCUCUAUAAAGCGCCGAAGGCCUUUUCUUUUCCCCCGACUUUCUCCUUCUUGCGACUUCAGACUUCACGCGACCGAGACCGGCGAUUUCUUCUUCUCUUGGUGGCGCCGGCGCCGGCGAAGAGCGGAUCUUGGAGGGUUGAGAGGAAGAGAGGUUAGCCGAACCUUCUUUCUCCCCGAUCCCUUCCUCCCUUCUCUGAUCUCGAUGAACAACGGCGACGGAUCUCGAUCGGUGGAUUUCGCCGGCUGUCGGGAGGGAACCAAGGGCAUCGGCGUUGGAUCAGGCCAGCAUCGAUUGUUUGGAGGAGUGUUGAUUCAGGUGGUUCUUUUUGGGAAGCAGAGACUGGUAUUUUGGUCCCGGCCACCACAGCUCUGUUGGAUGAUCGUCUCCGGUGAUUGAAGGGUGCAGAGAGGAUGCGAUGUGCUUAUUUUAGAUAUUGGAUUGGGAAGUGCAGAGAAUCAAGCAAGGGUCAAGGAGUUGCUUCAUGUGGAGGAAUCAAAACUAGAGGAGGAUGAGGGAAAUACCACUCCAGCAGUGAGAUGGGUUCAAGAUGAUAAAUAUGAUUGCAUCCGAUUAAAGCAUUGCAAGGUUGUGACAAAAAUUGAUUGGCAUCGGAAAGGAGACUAUUUCACUACUGUCGUUCGUAGUGAUAUCCUAAUUAUGAAUUUUAGUUGUACUUAUUUUUAGUCAUUCCUAGUGCCUAUUUUAUAUCUCAGUUUUGUUUCUUUCUUUUUUCUAAUACACACUGACAAAUUGGAAAUAUAUAAAAAUCAUGACAUUAUACCUAGUUACCUAGCCUUUGAGGCUGGAAUCAGGAUGAAACCUAAAGUGCCCUGAAAAGUUUAGGCAUACCAAAUUCUCUCAGUUUAAUGACAGAGGUGUUUUAGAUUGUAAAUUUCAUCCGAGGCAGCCAUGGCUAUUCACAGCUGGAGCAGAUUCUGUCAUUAAACUGUAUUGCCACUAAUGAUAGAUUCUCCAGGAAACUUUGAAGAAUCUCCUCGAGUCAAGAUACGUGAGUACUUGCUGAUCCUACAUGACUACGGUAGCAAGUUCAUGUUCUUUGCUGAAGCUGCAACCUAUUUAUGAGGUCGUUCUAUAUGGCACCGACACCUAGAGCAAGUUCGUGUUCUUUGCUAAAAUUGCAAUCUAUUUACAAGGUCUUUAGAUAGAUGUGGAUAUUGGUUCUUCGACAGUGGCUAAUGGAGUGUUAGGGCUCGUCUUUGGUGUAAUCACAUCCUUGGUGGUUGAUAUGGCAUUUCUAAUACAGGCUAUUGGUAGCGAUGAGCUUCCAGAAUGGCUCAUUGGCGCUGUUCGAAUUGCACAUAUCGAACUCUCUUCUGCAGUCUUGGCAGAUAUUCCAGAUACUCCAUCAGAAUGACUGCUUCAACUUAUGCUGCAUCCAUUCAUGCAUCAUGUUCUUUCUUGCAACUUCACCUGCUAUUGACAUCCAGAAUAGGAACUGCAGGAAGCUUGUUCAUUUACACAUCAAUACUCGAAACUUCGCCUGUAUUCUUAGACAUGUCUAUCCACUCUUUAACCUCAUUUUUGAGUUUUACUAGGCUAAGAUUGUUUAUCAUGUUGAGCAUGCACUUGUUACCUAUACCUUUUUGGUGUUUUUGAGAAUUUGUAAGGAUUAAGAAAUCAAACAGAUAGCAAAUGAAUGUAUUGUCUAGAAAGUGAAGUCUUUCAUUCCACUUACAAUAUUACCUCACUCUCUAUCCCCUAAAGUCAUCAAAGUUGCAUAAUGCACAAGCAUUGUCAAGCCUUGGCAACAUAUAUAUACAUGGAUUGUAAUAUGAUGAGUGUUGCUGCAUCAUUCUAUAAGACAAUUUUAGCAAUUACAACAGGGAUAUCUGUGCCCUUCAACAACUUGGCUAUUAUAUACAAGCAACAGCUUCAAGAUAUCAAACUCUACACCUUCUAUAUGGAGCUAGAUUUGCAAAAGUCAUAUCCAACUCGAGGAAGUGACUUAUUGACAUGGGAGAGAACUUAUUGGUAACCAAGGACUUUGUGAAGAUAGCAAAUUUUGGCCUUGCUCGUGAAGUUCAUUCGAAGCCACCAUUCACAGAAUAGGUUUCAACACGCUGUUUACAAAUCUCAAGUACUUCAGAGUUGAAAUUGAUGAAGUGCAGUUCGAGUCGGCUG